This 515-nucleotide ribosomal RNA is filed under the name uncultured archaeon. RNAcentral's name for it is "bacterial SSU rRNA". It matches the Rfam family "Archaeal small subunit ribosomal RNA", at positions 345 to 859 of the family's 1478-position model. The record is from RNAcentral.
AACCUUUACACUGCACGACAGUGCGAUAGGGGGACUCCGAGUGUGAGGGCAUAUAGCCCUCGCUUUUCUGAACCGUAAGGUGGUUCAGGAACAAGGACUGGGCAAGACCGGUGCCAGCCGCCGCGGUAAUACCGGCAGUUCGAGUGAUGGCCGAUUUUAUUGGGCCUAAAGCGUUCGUAGCUGGCCGAUCAAGUCUGUCGGGAAAUCUGCUCGCCUAACGAGCAGGCGUCCGGCGGAAACUGAUCGGCUUGGGACCGGAAGACUCGAGGGGUACGUCCGGGGUAGGAGUGAAAUCCUGUAAUCCUGGACGGACCACCGAUGGCGAAAGCACCUCGAGAGCACGGAUCCGACAGUGAGGAACGAAAGCUGGGGUCUCGAACCGGAUUAGAUACCCGGGUAGUCCCAGCUGUCAACGAUGCCCGCUAGGUAUGGCGCAGGCUACGAGCCUGUGCUAUGCCGUAGCGAAGGCGCUAAGCGGGCCGCCUGGGAAGUACGUUCGCAAGAAUGAAACUUAA